RNAcentral lists this ribosomal RNA (253 nucleotides) under uncultured bacterium. RNAcentral's name for it is "partial 16S ribosomal RNA". It matches the Rfam family "Bacterial small subunit ribosomal RNA", at positions 524 to 776 of the family's 1533-position model. The record is from RNAcentral.
UACGUAGGGUGCAAGCGUUGUCCGGAAUUAUUGGGCGUAAAGAGCUCGUAGGCGGUUAGUCACGUCGGCUGUGAAAACCUGGGGCUCAACCCCGGGCCUGCAGCCGAUACGGGCUGACUAGAAUUCGGUAGGGGAGACUGGAAUUCCUGGUGUAGCGGUGAAAUGCGCAGAUAUCAGGAGGAACACCGGUGGCGAAGGCGGGUCUCUGGGCCGAUAUUGACGCUGAGGAGCGAAAGCGUGGGGAGCAAACAGG